This 497-nucleotide ribosomal RNA is filed under the name uncultured bacterium. Its description in RNAcentral is "partial 16S ribosomal RNA". It matches the Rfam family "Bacterial small subunit ribosomal RNA", at positions 28 to 507 of the family's 1533-position model. The record is from RNAcentral.
GAUGAACGCUGGCGGCGUGCCUAAUACAUGCAAGUCGAGCGAACAGACGAGGCGCUUGCUCCUCUGACGUUAGCGGCGGACGGGUGAGUAACACGUGGAUAACCUACCUAUAAGACUGGGAUAACUUCGGGAAACCGGAGCUAAUACCGUAUAAUAUAUUGAACCGCAUGGUUCAAUAGUGAAAGACGGUUUUGCUGUCACUUAUAGAUGGAUCCGCGCCGCAUUAGCUAGUUGGUAAGGUACCGGCGUACCAAGGCAACGAUGCGUAGCCGACCUGAGAGGGGGAUCGGCCACCCGGGAACUGAGACACGCUCCAGACUCCUACGAGAGGCAGCAGUAGGGAACCUUCCGCAAUGGGCGAAAGCCUGACGGAGCAACGCCGAGUGAGUGAUGAAGGUGUUCGGAUCGUAAAACUCUGUUAUUAGGGAAGAACAAAUGUGUAAGUAACUAUGCACGUCUUGACGGUACCGAAUCAGAAAGCCACGGCUAACUACGUG